UACGUAGGGUGCGUGCGUUGUCCGGAAUUACUGGGCGUAAAGAGCUCGUAGGUGGUUUGUCGCGUUGUUCGUGAAAACUCACAACUCAAUUGUGGGCGUGCGGGCGAUACGGGCAGACUGGAGUACUGCAGGGGAGACUGGAAUUCCUGGUGUAGCGGUGGAAUGCGCAGAUAUCAGGAGGAACACCGGUGGCGAAGGCGGGUCUCUGGGCAGUAACUGACGCUGAGGAGCGAAAGCGUGGGGAGCGAACAGG
Molecule: ribosomal RNA, 253 nt
Filed under: uncultured bacterium
Lineage: Bacteria
Description: partial 16S ribosomal RNA
Rfam family: Bacterial small subunit ribosomal RNA
Source: RNAcentral